UAUGUGAUCGUCUCUCGCAUAUCAAUAAGCGGAGGAAAAGAAACUAACAAGGAUUCCCCUAGUAACGGCGAGUGAAGCGGGAAGAGCUCAAAUUUGAAAUCUUAAAGGGUUUCCCUUUACGAAUUGUAGUUUAAAGAAGUGUUUUCUGUUGAGGUUUUGGUAAAAGUUCUUUGGAAUAGGACAUCAUAGAGGGUGAGAAUCCCGUAUUUGACCUUUACUUUCAACUUUGUGAUACACUUUCAAAGAGUCGGAUUGUUUGGGAAUGCAGUCCAAAAUGGGUGGUAAAUUUCAUCUAAAGCCUAAAUAUUGGCGAGAGACCGAUAGCGAACAAGUACCGUGAGGGAAAGAUGAAAAGAACUUUGAAAAGAGAGUUAAACAGUACGUGAAAUUGUCAAAAGGGAAGCGUUUGACACCAGUGUUGUUUUUCUGAAAAUCAAUUAAAGAACUGUUUAUGCUAAGUUGUUUAGACUUUAUCAGCUAACUGUUUAGUUUUGAGCUUUUCUUUAAUGCACUUUUCAGUUAACAAGUCAACAUCAAUUUCUUUUGCUGCUAAAAAAGCUUGAGGAAGGUGGCUUGAGAUUCGUCUUAAGUGUUUAUAGCCUCUUGCCUAUGCAGUCGGAGAGAUUGAGGUCUGCAGCGUAGAUCCUUCGGGGCUAAAUGCAUUUGUGCUAAGUUAUAGCAUUUUAUAGACAACUUGUUGACUAUGAUUUGUCUUGUAGCUUACUCGCUUAUGUUAUUUUACCUACGCUUAGGAUGUUGAUCUACAGAGCGAGAGU
This 776-nucleotide ribosomal RNA is filed under the name uncultured Neocallimastigales. Its description in RNAcentral is "partial large subunit ribosomal RNA". It matches the Rfam family "Eukaryotic large subunit ribosomal RNA", at positions 24 to 631 of the family's 3401-position model. Lineage: Eukaryota; Fungi; Neocallimastigomycota; Neocallimastigomycetes; Neocallimastigales. The record is from RNAcentral.